RNAcentral lists this ribosomal RNA (747 nucleotides) under uncultured bacterium. RNAcentral's name for it is "bacterial SSU rRNA". It matches the Rfam family "Bacterial small subunit ribosomal RNA", at positions 8 to 796 of the family's 1533-position model. The record is from RNAcentral.
AGAGUUUGAUCCUGGCUCAGGAUGAACGCUGGCGGUCUGCUUAACACAUGCAAGUCGAACGCAAGUAGCAAUACUUGAGUGGCGGACGGGUGAGUAACGCGUGAGAAUCUGCCUAGAGGUUGGGGACAACCACUGGAAACGGUGGCUAAUACCCAAUGUGCCUAUUCGUGAAAGAUUUAUCGCCUCUAGAUGAGCUCGCGUCUGAUUAGCUAGUUGGUAGGGUAAAAGCCUACCAAGGCAUCGAUCAGUAGCUGGUCUGAGAGGAUGACCAGCCACACUGGGACUGAGACACGGCCCAGACUCCUACGGGAGGCAGCAGUGGGGAAUUUUCCGCAAUGGGCGAAAGCCUGACGGAGCAAGACCGCGUGAGGGAGGAAGGCUCUUGGGUCGUAAACCUCUUUUGUCAGGGAAGAACACAAUGACGGUACCUGACGAAUCAGCCUCGGCUAACUCCGUGCCAGCAGCCGCGGUAAUACGGAGGAGGCAAGCGUUAUCCGGAAUUAUUGGGCGUAAAGCGUCCGUAGGUGGCACCUCAAGUCUGCUGUCAAAGACCGGGGCUUAACCCCAGAAAGGCAGUGGAAACUGAAGUGCUAGAGUGCAGUAGGGGUAGAGGGAAUUCCCGGUGUAGCGGUGAAAUGCGUAGAGAUCGGGAAGAACAUCGGUGGCGAAANNNNCUCUGCUGGACUGCAACUGACACUCAGGGACGAAAGCUAGGGGAGCGAAUGGGAUUAGAUACCCUAGUAGUCC